Molecule: ribosomal RNA, 804 nt
Filed under: uncultured bacterium
Lineage: Bacteria
Description: bacterial SSU rRNA
Rfam family: Bacterial small subunit ribosomal RNA
Source: RNAcentral
GGCUUAGAGUUUGAUCCUGGCUCAGAUUGAACGCUGGCGGCAGGCCUAACACAUGCAAGUCGAGCGGUAGAGAGAAGCUUGCUUCUCUUGAGAGCGGCGGACGGGUGAGUAAUGCCUAGGAAUCUGCCUGGUAGUGGGGGAUAACGUUCGGAAACGAACGCUAAUACCGCAUACGUCCUACGGGAGAAAGCAGGGGACCUUCGGGCCUUGCGCUAUCAGAUGAGCCUAGGUCGGAUUAGCUAGUUGGUGAGGUAAUGGCUCACCAAGGCGACGAUCCGUAACUGGUCUGAGAGGAUGAUCAGUCACACUGGAACUGAGACACGGUCCAGACUCCUACGGGAGGCAGCAGUGGGGAAUAUUGGACAAUGGGCGAAAGCCUGAUCCAGCCAUGCCGCGUGUGUGAAGAAGGUCUUCGGAUUGUAAAGCACUUUAAGUUGGGAGGAAGGGCAGUUACCUAAUACGUGAUUGUUUUGACGUUACCGACAGAAUAAGCACCGGCUAACUCUGUGCCAGCAGCCGCGGUAAUACAGAGGGUGCAAGCGUUAAUCGGAAUUACUGGGCGUAAAGCGCGCGUAGGUGGUUUGUUAAGUUGGAUGUGAAAUCCCCGGGCUCAACCUGGGAACUGCAUUCAAAACUGACUGACUAGAGUAUGGUAGAGGGUGGUGGAAUUUCCUGUGUAGCGGUGAAAUGCGUAGAUAUAGGAAGGAACACCAGUGGCGAAGGCGACCCCCUGGACUAAUACUGACACUGAGGUGCGAAAGCGUGGGGAGCAAACAGGAUUAGAUACCCUGGUAGUCCACGCCG